Molecule: small RNA, 403 nt
Filed under: Histoplasma ohiense
Lineage: Eukaryota; Fungi; Ascomycota; Eurotiomycetes; Onygenales; Ajellomycetaceae
Description: hypothetical lncRNA
Source: RNAcentral
GGGGAGUUGGUUGCGUAAGUUAACUACUAACGGGUGCUAACCCGUCACAUAAGCAGAAGAUAUUGAUUCUUAAAGAUCUGAUCAUAUAAGCAGUGUACAAAUGUGCUUGAUACAUUCAAAUCAAUCUCAAAAUUGAACUUAUCUGAGAAGCUUGCACAGACUCAAUCUUCUAGAUGUCAAUUCUCAUGAUUAUAACAGAAUUUUCACUGAUUUUGUUUGUGUAGAGACUUUAAAAAGAGUUUUGAACAAGAUCUGAAAGCAUUUCAGUCAUUCUUCUUGAAAUAUGAUUGAAUGAUUUUGAUGACAAUAGAGUGAACAGACUUUGAUGAUGAUUGAAAUGAGAUGAGAGUAUCAAAUGAAUUUUGACUCACAGUGUGUAUUAAUUGAUGUUCAUCACAAGCAG